AAUCAACGCUGGCGGCGUGCCUCAGACAUGCAAGUCGAACGAUUAAAGCUCUCUUCGGAGAGUGCAUAAAGUGGCGCACGGGUGAGUAACACGUAAGUAAUCUACCUUCGAGUGGGGAAUAACGUCCGGAAACGGACGCUAAUACCGCAUAAUGCAGCGGCAUCGCAAGAUGACAGUUGUUAAAGGAGCAAUUCGCUUGAAGAGGAGCUUGCGGCAGAUUAGCUUGUUGGUAAGGUAACGGCUUACCAAGGCUACGAUCUGUAACCGGUCUAAGAGGACGGUCGGUCACACUGACACUGAAUAACGGGUCAGACUCCUACGGGAGGCAGCAGUCGGGAAUUUUGGGCAAUGGGGGAAACCCUGACCCAGCAACGCCGCGUGAAGGAUGAAGUAUUUCGGUAUGUAAACUU
Molecule: ribosomal RNA, 410 nt
Filed under: uncultured bacterium
Lineage: Bacteria
Description: bacterial SSU rRNA
Rfam family: Bacterial small subunit ribosomal RNA
Source: RNAcentral